AUUGAACGCUGGCGGCAGGCUUAACACAUGCAAGUCGAGCGGGGUGAUGGUGCUUGCACUAUCACUUAGCGGCGGACGGGUGAGUAAUGCUUAGGAAUCUGCCUAUUAGUGGGGGACAACAUCUCGAAAGGGAUGCCAAUACCGCAUACGUCCUACGGGAGAAAGCAGGGGAUCACUUGUGACCUUGCGCUAAUAGAUGAGCCUAAGUCGGAUUAGCCAGUUGGUGGGGUAAAGGCCUACCAAGGCGACGAUCUGUAGCGGGUCUGAGAGGAUGAUCCGCCACACUGGGACUGAGACACGGCCCAGACUCCUACGGGAGGCAGCAGUGGGGAAUAUUGGACAAUGGGGGGAACCCUGAUCCAGCCAUGCCGCGUGUGUGAAGAAGGCCUUAUGGUUGUAAAGCACUUUAAGCGAGGAGGAGGCUCUUUUGGUUAAUACCCAAGAUGAGUGGACGUUACUCGCAGAAUAAGCACCGGCUAACUCUGUGCCAGCCGCCGCGGUAA
Molecule: ribosomal RNA, 503 nt
Filed under: uncultured bacterium
Lineage: Bacteria
Description: partial 16S ribosomal RNA
Rfam family: Bacterial small subunit ribosomal RNA
Source: RNAcentral